AAGCGUACACGGUGGAUGCCUAGGCAAUCAGAGGCGAUGAAGGACGUGCUAAUCUGCGAAAAGCGUCGGUAAGGCGAUAUGAACCGUUAUAGCCGACGAUGUCCGAAUGGGGAAACCCAGUGCAAUUCGUUGCACUAUCGUUUGAUGAAUCCAUAGUCAAACGAGGCGAACCGGGGGAACUGAAACAUCUCAGUACCCCGAGGAAAAGAAAUCAACCGA
RNAcentral lists this ribosomal RNA (219 nucleotides) under Providencia stuartii. RNAcentral describes it as "partial 23S ribosomal RNA". It matches the Rfam family "Bacterial large subunit ribosomal RNA", at positions 13 to 232 of the family's 2925-position model. The record is from RNAcentral. Lineage: Bacteria; Pseudomonadati; Pseudomonadota; Gammaproteobacteria; Enterobacterales; Morganellaceae.